Molecule: ribosomal RNA, 253 nt
Filed under: uncultured bacterium
Lineage: Bacteria
Description: partial 16S ribosomal RNA
Rfam family: Bacterial small subunit ribosomal RNA
Source: RNAcentral
UACGUAGGGUGCAAGCGUUAAUCGGAAUUACUGGGCGUAAAGCGUGCGCAGGCGGUUAUGUAAGACAGGUGUGAAAUCCCCGGGCUUAACCUGGGAACUGCAUUUGUGACUGCAUAGCUAGAGUACGGCAGAGGGGGAUGGAAUUCCGCGUGUAGCAGUGAAAUGCGUAGAUAUGCGGAGGAACACUGAUGGCGAAGGCAAUCCCCUGGGCCUGUACUGACGCUCAUGCACGAAAGCGUGGGGAGCAAACAGG